Lates calcarifer (barramundi perch) is the source of this 791-nucleotide long non-coding RNA. RefSeq lists it as uncharacterized. The record is from RefSeq and is a predicted model, not a curated record. NCBI's taxonomy places the organism in Eukaryota, Metazoa, Chordata, Actinopteri, Centropomidae. The transcript has 3 exons.
AUAAGGUUAUUUGUUUUUCAAGUGUUGUACUUGUGUUUUCAGGUUUACUGGUUCAGGCUGCUGCAGCCUGGACAGAAACACCAGCUCUCACCUUAAAAACCAAACAGGAUUCAAAUGUCAACCAUUAAAUCACAGAGAGAAGAGACAGACGUGAAGACAUUUCCAGAAGGUCUUCAGCUGCCGUCAUCUUCUCCUCCUGCAGACACAAGAACACGUAUUAUGACAUGCGGCUUAAGACAAAGGAACUAUCCUAAAGCAGCCACCUGACCUCUGUUUUCCACAGACACAGUUCUAAACAGUGUUUGUGGGUCAGGUUAGAUUUUCAUUUUCGUAUGUUGCUAUUUCUAACAGUGCAAUAUCAGUACUCAGAUUCAAUCUAUUACUGUGUAUAAUUUUUAUAUCUUUUCUUGUACGUAUAAUGCCCUUUUCUAUAUUUGCUGUUGCAACACUGAAUUUCUCAAUUAUCAUAUUCAAAUAAAUACUUGUGAACACUGAAAAUUUUGCCAGUCUGUUUAAUGUUGUAUAAAAGUGAAUAUUUUUAGCUAGAGGCUAGGGUUAGGGUUAAGGCCUAGGCUUAGCCACAAUUAAAAUGUAUAAUUGCAAGCUGCAAGUAGAGAAUAUUUGGCAUUUCUGCAUUACAAAAUCACUUUUGUGAUAUUUAUUUGACGAUAGAGGAACUCAACUCAAAAGAUAUACUAUGACAUUUUUUGGUGGUUUUUGACCCCUUACUAUACUAUGACAUUUUUUGACCAUUUUUCAUGCCAUACUAUACUAUGACAUUUUUUGGUGGU